CUCGAAUUUAAAAGAGCUAUGCAUGAAUAUAUAUUAAUGUAGAAUAAUUAUUUAUAAUUUGUGUAUUGUAAUGAAACGUUAUUCGUUUUUAAAUAUAUCUAGUUUUCUAAGAAAUUAAUUAAAUUUAGUAACUAUUUAAUAUUUUUAUUAAUAUUUAUUUUUAUAUUAAUAGUUAAUAAUAUCUAAGGGGAUGAGCUUUUAGAUAAAUACUUAUAAGAUGUUUAUGUUAUGAUAAUUUGUAGGAUUAGAAUUUUCCACCUAUAAAAGGAUGUUAUAAUUUAUUAUUGUAGAAUAUGAUUUAUAUUUUCUUUAAGUUUUUUAUUAGAAUAAUAAUACUAAUUUUUAGUGUUAUGAGAUAAUGAUUGGAUUAGUAUAAAUGAUUGUA
Molecule: ribosomal RNA, 385 nt
Filed under: Dendarus aff. moesiacus NP-2020
Lineage: Eukaryota; Metazoa; Arthropoda; Insecta; Coleoptera; Tenebrionidae
Description: partial large subunit ribosomal RNA
Source: RNAcentral